AAACCAGGAAAACAAUUCCUCUUAUUUGUAAAUAUUAUGAAUUCUUUCAAAUUAAUUGAGAUGAUUCUUCUAUUUGGCAGAGAAAAAGUCUACUGGACAGAAUUUGUGUAAGUAAUCAAGUCCAGAGAAUAUUAGCUGAAGUAUAGAAAUGCCAGGAAUUAGUUUACUGAGUAGUGACAAGCAUAUUUCUUCCACUAACACACAGUACAUUUCAACUUAUCCAGUUCUUCUUGUGUGUAAAUAAAAUGCAAUUAGGAUUUUCUUUUUCCAUAUGGGUUGCAGGGGUCUAAGCCUUAGCCUUCAGUGCCUGGAGCUAAAUGCUUUGUCACUGUGCAAGGAAAUCCAAACCUGCUGCACAGAAUGAGGCUUAUUUUGACUUAACAAAGGCAUGAAUACCACAAACAUGAUCAACAGGUCCUUUUUAGUGCCUCCUGUUAGCUGAGGUGAAGCUUUGUAGCCCCCCCGUGCUCCAACAUGCGUCAGUGGUGCUCCUAUGCACAGCUUACAGACAGCUUUGCAGAACACCAUCUACAUGUUGUAGCUGUGUACCCUCACCAUGGGGUCAGUGUCACAAGGAACCAGUCUAUGGGCUACUCUCGCUGUGCUGUUGAUGGUCAUUCAUCCCGCCAUGUUAAAGAAAGAAGAUGUACAAACAAACAGCAGAAAUGAAACCAAGUGUGAAACGUGUCUACUGCAGCCACCAUCUGUGCUCCUGCUCUAUUUUCUGAUCUUUGAUGUUUUUCCAUGCUUCUUUCUCUUCUGGUAAAUGCUGCUGUGAUUUCCUCCCUUUUCUGGCUCACUUUUCAGCCAAUCAGCAUUUGGUCUACAUAUUUUCAUGUAUUUUUAUUUUUAUUGGAACUUAGAUUUUUUUUCCAGUUUAAAUAAAACUUUUUAGAUCAAAUAUCUCUUUUACAAGAGUCUCCAGGUGAAGAAAGACUGUCUUGAUCUGAGCGAGUGUCUGAUGUGUGGUAUGUUUUUCCACUUUCCAUGGUGUUCAGGUUCUGCCAAUGGGGGUGGAGUUUCAUGUCUUACCCGGUACCUCCACCUGUGAUUCAUCACCUGUAAUCAGCAGGCCGGCAUUUAAGACCAGCUCAGCCUUCGAUUUAUCGCCAUUUUGUCUGCUAUCUCCGUGGAGUAUUCAACUCACCUGCAUUAAAGAGACUCACCUCGUCUCGUCAAUGCUAGUCAACUGCCACCACGCUACUGCUCCUUCACCUGCCUGCCCUCUUGCUCGGUGCUCAGCUUAGAUCUCUGGAACAGAAGGUUGGACUCCCAAACUCACUUGCCUCGUGGUUCAGUUGGAUUCACGCUCAGUCCCCCUCCCUGAUGUCAACUUACACUCUGACCUGCAAGUAAACUUCCUCCACAAUCACAAAUUACCUUUGGAAGCCAUUUUCCAUCCAGCACUAACCUCCCCCUCUCUCUCUGUUUCAGUUAUUCAUGCCCUGAGUCUCCUGCUUCAGUUCUUCAUGUCCUUACACAUUCCUGAAUUAAAUAAAGUUG
Long non-coding RNA from Astatotilapia calliptera (eastern happy), 1503 nucleotides. The record is from Ensembl. Lineage: Eukaryota; Metazoa; Chordata; Actinopteri; Cichliformes; Cichlidae.